This 528-nucleotide ribosomal RNA is filed under the name Triticum aestivum (bread wheat). RNAcentral's name for it is "partial small subunit ribosomal RNA". Lineage: Eukaryota; Viridiplantae; Streptophyta; Magnoliopsida; Poales; Poaceae. The record is from RNAcentral.
AUGAAGCGCACGAGGAACAAGGAGGUAUUGUCUCUGGCGCUGGCACUGACCACGGACUCAUCAACGUCGUCCACAACGUCAGCGGACUCGGCCGGGUCACCGGCAAAGAAAGCACGGCGACGCGAGAGGGGCGCCAUGGUGGCGACUUCGGGUGAGGGGGAGUUCGUGUGCAAUACGUGCGGCCGUGCCUUCGCGUCCUUCCAGGCGCUCGGCGGGCACCGGACGAGCCACCUUCGGGGCCGCCACGAGCUGGAGCUCGGCGUCGGCAUCGCCAGGGCCAUCAGAGAACGGAGAAGACGGGAGAACAAGCAGCACGAGGCAAUCAAGGAACGGAAGAAGCAGCGGCACGAAUGCCACAUCUGCGGGCUCGGGUUUGAGAUGGGCCAGGCGCUGGGGGGACACAUGAGGCGGCACCGCGAGGAGAUGGCACUUAGCGGCGCAAACGACCGGAGGGUUGCGGAUCAGGAUGUGGCGGGGCAUCAUGCCGCCGCCGACCAGCCCCCGGUCUUGCUCGAGCUGUUCGUCUAG